RNAcentral lists this ribosomal RNA (498 nucleotides) under uncultured bacterium. Its description in RNAcentral is "partial 16S ribosomal RNA". It matches the Rfam family "Bacterial small subunit ribosomal RNA", at positions 28 to 507 of the family's 1533-position model. The record is from RNAcentral.
GAUGAACGCUGGCGGCGUGCCUAAUACAUGCAAGUCGAGCGAACAGACGAGGAGCUUGCUCCUCUGACGUUAGCGGCGGACGCGUGAGUAACACGUGGAUAACCUACCUAUAAGACUGGGAUAACUUCGGGAAACCGGAGCUCAUACCGGAUAAUAUAUUGAACCGCAUGGUUCAAUAGUGAAAGAAGGUUUUGCUGUCACUUAUAGAUGGAUCCGCGCCGGAUUAGCUAGUUGGUAAGGUAAAGGCUUAACAAGGCAACGAUUAGUAGCCGAACCGAGAGGAGGAAUCGCCCAAUCGGGAACGAAAACACGCCCCAAACCCUAACGGGGGGAACCGGUGGGGAACUUUCGGCAAGGGGGGAAGGCCGAAGGAGCCAACCCGGGGGGGGGAAGGAGGCCUUCGGGUUCUAAAGACUUGUUUAUUGGGGAGAAACAAAUUUUUAAGAAACGAGGCACGGCUUGACGGUACCGAAUCAGAAAGCCACGGCUAACUACGUG